GUCUACAGCCAUGCAACCCUGAACAAGCCCGAUAUCGUCUGAUCUCUGAAGCCAAGCAGGGUCAGGCCUGGUUAGUACUUGGAUGGGAGACCACCUAGGAAGAGCAGGUGCUAUAGGCG
Molecule: ribosomal RNA, 119 nt
Filed under: Pteropus alecto (black flying fox)
Lineage: Eukaryota; Metazoa; Chordata; Mammalia; Chiroptera; Pteropodidae
Source: RNAcentral